AUGGUGCGCGCGUCUAGGGCUCCGGGCCGGGCAGCUGAGGGGCGGCGGGCGCGCUCCCGACACAGCCGACGCCUGUCGAGCGCGCAGCGGCGAGAACCUAGCUCUCCUUGUCGCGCACCCCGGACGGACUGGGCGGACAGGCUCCACGGUGCGUGGGUUCCACGAGUUCGAGUCUCUCCUUGCAGGCCCACGAACCUGAACAGAACGCGAGCCGGGGCAGCGGGCUCGCCGGCCUCCUUUCAGUGCUCCCGCCUCGCCUCCAGACGUGCCGUCUCGCCAGCUGCCUCAGCAGCGCUCGGACUCAGCGGGACUCUGCCCCGACUCGGAGCCGGAGCCUCGGUCCCUGGCGCUCCGCCCCCUAGGGACAAGACCUCCCCAGAGCGCUUUCCGAAACAGACACAGUGCUGUUCACGCACACACACACGCACACAUACACACACACACAAUGCCCCGCGCGGUGCGCACUCCCGCUCGCCCGCCCGCCCUCGGUUUCGGUGCGCCCGGAGCGAUCCUCCUUCCCUCUCCUCGGGGGAGGGUGGGUCACUUCGCGGCACUCGGGGAACGCCGAGGAAAGGGGAAGCCGCGAGCCGCCUACGGGCAGCGGGCGCGGGGCUGGUCCCGGGUCACAGAGGGAGCCGCAGGGUUGGCGGCGAAGCGCGGGGCGUCUCUGAGCGGCGGGCGCAGGGAGGUCGCAGGUCAAGCUGGAGGGUGGGUCCGCUCUAGCUGCCGCCGAAGAGGGCGGGGAGCGGCGGAGGAACGAGGCGCUUGGCGACUUGGCUCCUGGGAGGGAUCCCGCUGUCCCGUCCUCUCGCGCUCCUCCCCCGCCGCCUCCCCCACCCCGGGGCGCGCGGCAGGUUCUGAGCGGCUCGGCCCCAGAUCCCGAUCCCUCCCUCUCCCGGCCUCCGGGAUCCCUCUUCCUCCCUUUCCUCCUCCCCUUCCCACGUUCAGGCCCGGCUCCGGUUUCUGCCCAGACUUUCUCUGAAACUCCGCCGGAGCGCUUCCAGCCAAAACAACAAGGGCUGGGGGAGGAGACGGACGAAGGGAGAGAGCAAGGGAGGGAGGGAGCGCGAGUCCGAGAGGCACCCUGGGAUCUGUAGUUCGGAAAGCAGGAGCAGGGUCCUCCGCCGUCCGGCGGCCCCCAGUCCGCUCCUCGCCCGGGAAGACCGCAGAGGCCUCGGCUAGGGCGGAGGCAAUGGGGCUCGGGCACGGGGAGGACCGAGGGACGUUCGAAUGUUCAGUCCGGGGCUUGCCAUCUUGACUCAGCCCGGUGUCAGUUCGGAGCUUGUGCUAUGCCCGAGAUCAAGAGUUUCGGGGGUUUUCUUUACUUGAGAGCCUGAAAAACAAAACCGCUGGGAGACCACCAUCCUGUCGGUCCCCGCCACGCGAGAUUAAAGGACAGAACAAGAGGGCGCGGGAGCUACCAGCUUGGAGGGGAGGACAGAUGGGAACCGUGGGCUGGCCUGGGCUGGUCUCUGGAGCUGUUCUGCCAGAGUGAUGGGGGCGCUUGGCCGGGCCAAGGAUUUGAUUGGGUCCUAUCUCUGGGACAUUUUGAAGUCUCACACUCCUUCCAUUUGUUGUCUAUUCCACUUAACUUUGUAUUUGUUUGAAAUCUACUGUUGGGAUGCUGGACUAAAAGAGGGAAACUCGGUCGGGCGCGGUGGCUCACGCUGUAAUC
Chlorocebus sabaeus (green monkey) is the source of this 1675-nucleotide non-coding RNA. The record is from RefSeq and is a predicted model, not a curated record. Lineage: Eukaryota; Metazoa; Chordata; Mammalia; Primates; Cercopithecidae.